This 253-nucleotide ribosomal RNA is filed under the name uncultured Leptolyngbya sp. RNAcentral describes it as "partial 16S ribosomal RNA". It matches the Rfam family "Bacterial small subunit ribosomal RNA", at positions 524 to 776 of the family's 1533-position model. The record is from RNAcentral. Lineage: Bacteria; Bacillati; Cyanobacteriota; Cyanophyceae; Leptolyngbyales; Leptolyngbyaceae.
UACGGAGGAUGCAAGCGUUAUCCGGAUUUAUUGGGCGUAAAGCGUCCGCAGGUGGUUUUACAAGUCUGCUGUUAAAGCGCGAGGCUUAACCUCGUACAGGCAGUGGAAACUGUGAGACUAGAGUAUGGUAGGGGUAGCGGGAAUUCCCAGUGUAGCGGUGAAAUGCGUAGAUAUUGGGAAGAACACCAGCGGCGAAAGCGCGCUACUGGGCCAUUACUGACACUCAUGGACGAAAGCUAGGGGAGCGAAAGGG